AAGUCGAACGAUCCUUCGGGAUAGUGGCGGACGGGUGAGUAACGCGUGGGAAUCUGCCCUCAGGAGGGGGAUAACGGCUGGAAACGGCCGCUAAUACCCCAUAUGCCGAGAGGUGAAAUGAAUUUCGCCUGAGGAUGAGCCCGCGUCUGAUUAGCUAGUUGGUGGGGUAAAGGCCUACCAAGGCAACGAUCAGUAGCUGGUCUGAGAGGAUGAUCAGCCACACUGGGACUGAGACACGGCCCAGACUCCUACGGGAGGCAGCAGUGGGGAAUUUUCUGCAAUGGGCGAAAGCCUGACGGAGCAACGCCGCGUGAGGGAUGAAGGCCUCUGGGCUGUAAACCUCUUUUCUCAAGGAAGAAGACCUGACGGUACUUGAGGAAUAAGCCACGGCUAAUUCCGUGCCAGCAGCCGCGGUAAUACGGGAGUGGCAAGCGUUAUCCGGAAUUAUUGGGCGUAAAGCGUCCGCAGGCGGCCUUGUAAGUCUGUUGUUAAAGCGUGGAGCUCAACUCCAUUUAAGCAAUGGAAACUACAAGGCUGGAGUGUGGUAGGGGCAGAGGGAAUUCCCGGUGUAGCGGUGAAAUGCGUAGAUAUCGGGAAGAACACCAGUGGCGAAGGCGCUCUGCUGGGCCAUAACUGACGCUCAUGGACGAAAGCCAGGGGAGCGAAAGGGAUUAGAUACCCCUGUAGUCCUGGCCGUAAACGAUGAACACUAGGUGUCGGGGGAAUCGACCCCCUCGGUGUCGUAGCCAACGCGUUAAGUGUUCCGCCUGGGGAGUACGCACGCAAGUGUGAAACUCAAAGGAAUUGACGGGGGCCCGCACAAGCGGUGGAGUAUGUGGUUUAAUUCGAUGCAACGCGAAGAACCUUACCAGGGUUUGACAUCCUGCGAACCCCUGAGAAAUCGGGGGGUGCCUUCGGGAGCGCAGAGACAGGUGGUGCAUGGCUGUCGUCAGCUCGUGUCGUGAGAUGUUGGGUUAAGUCCCGCAACGAGCGCAACCCACGUCUUUAGUUGCCAGCAUUCAGUUGGGCACUCUAGAGAGACCGCCGGUGAUAAACCGGAGGAAGGUGUGGAUGACGUCAAGUCAUCAUGCCCCUUACAUCCUGGGCUACACACGUACUACAAUGCUACGGACAAAGGGCAGCAAGCUCGCGAGAGUUAGCAAAUCCCAUAAACCGUGGCUCAGUUCAGAUCGUGGGCUGCAACUCGCCUACGUGAAGGAGGAAUCGCUAGUAAUCGCAGGUCAGCAUACUGCGGUGAAUACGUUCCCGGGCCUUGUACACACCGCCCGUCACACCAAGGAAGUUGGCCAUGCCCGAAGUCGUUACUCCAACCCUUGUGGAGGAGGACGCCGAAGGUGGGGCUGAUGACUGGGGUGAAGUCGUAACAAGGUA
Molecule: ribosomal RNA, 1392 nt
Filed under: metagenome
Description: bacterial SSU rRNA
Rfam family: Bacterial small subunit ribosomal RNA
Source: RNAcentral